AAGUCGUAACAAGGUUUCCGUAGGUGAACCUGCGGAAGGAUCAUUAACACUUUUUAAUUAAAUUUCUUUUUCUAGAAAUUUAUAAAACCCCACAAUUUUGGAUGAAUUUAAUUAUUUAAUUUUAAUUUUUUUUAAAUUUUUUUUUAUAUAACUAAAAAUAUUUUGGACUAAAAUCUUUUUUUAUAAAUUUUUAUAUAAUUUAAAAAACAACUCUUAACAACGGAUAUCUUGGCUCUC
This 237-nucleotide unclassified non-coding RNA is filed under the name fungal sp. RNAcentral describes it as "partial internal transcribed spacer region". The stretch from base 1 to 46 matches the Rfam family "Eukaryotic small subunit ribosomal RNA", at positions 1786 to 1831 of the family's 1831-position model. The record is from RNAcentral. Lineage: Eukaryota; Fungi.